GAGUUUGAUCCUGGCUCAGAGUGAACGCUGGCGGCGUGCCUAAUACAUGCAAGUCGAACGAUGAAUCUUCUAGCUUGCUAGAAGUGGAUUAGUGGCGCACGGGUGAGUAAUGCAUAGGUUAUGUGCCCUUUAGUCUGGGAUAGCCACUGGAAACGGUGAUUAAUACUGGAUACUCCCUACGGGGGAAAGUUUUUCGCUAAAGGAUCAGCCUAUGUCCGAUCAGCUUGUUGGUGAGGUAAUGGCUCACCAAGGCUAUGACGGGUAUCCGGCCUGAGAGGGUGAUCGGACACACUGGAACUGAGACACGGUCCAGACUCCUACGGGAGGCAGCAGUAGGGAAUAUUGCUCAAUGGGGGAAACCCUGAAGCAGCAACGCCGCGUGGAGGAUGAAGGUUGAGGAUUGUAAACUCCUUUUGUUAGAG
This 422-nucleotide ribosomal RNA is filed under the name uncultured bacterium. RNAcentral describes it as "bacterial SSU rRNA". It matches the Rfam family "Bacterial small subunit ribosomal RNA", at positions 9 to 444 of the family's 1533-position model. The record is from RNAcentral.